AUGCCGGCCCCGCCGCCGCCACGGAGCCAGCCGAAACGCCGGCGGCCGCUUGCUCUCCCCGCGGUCUGCCCGUGCGAGGGCAUCGCGCCGGAGCCGCUCCUCGCCUCCCUAGUUUCGCUCACUGCCGACGUGGCGAGCCGCAGGGCCGGCGAGGCCAGCGCCUUCCCCGUGCUCCGCCGCGGCACCCACCAAGCAGUGCGCCUCGCCGGCCUCCUCCUCGCUUUCCUCGAGGAGAUCCAGGAUGCUGCGGCGACGCUGUCGCACUCCGCCGUGGUCGGUCUCACGGAGCUGCACGUCGCCAUGCAGAAGAUGAGGUUCCUGCUCACGGACUGCGCGCGUCGAGGGGGCCGCCUGUGGGUGCUCGUGAACGCUGAACUCAUAGCGUCUGAGCUCAGGUUGUGUCUGGGAUCCGUCGCGGCGGCCAUGGAUGUGCUGCCGACGAGCAUCGUCGGUGCAUCCGUUGAGUCGGGGGAGCUCGGGCGGCUGGUAUCGGAUCAGGCGUGGCGCGCGGUGGUGCGGCCUGACGCCGGCGACAAACUAGCAGUGCGGAGCAUACGGUCUAUCAUGGAUACCUUUAAGAUGGGCGUCGCGCCGGAGGCGGAUGAUGUGAUGCGGGUGCUCCGCCGGAUCAGGGUCGAAAGCUGGUUCCAGUGCUCCGAGGAGAUCGCUUUCCUAGAUGGCGAGCUCUCCGCGCGGUUCGACGCCGGCGACGAGAACAGCAGCGCGGUGGUCCUCCUCAACAAUCUGAUGGCGUUCCUGGUGUACUGCCGCGUGGUGCUGUUCGAUCACAUUGACUCGAAGCAGUCGGAUGCGACGGCGGCGCGACCGGCGACGUGCCCGGAGUGGAUCAGACCGGAGGCGCUGCAGUGCCCGAUCACACUGGAACUCAUGACCGACCCGGUGACCGUGUCCACCGGCCAGACAUACGACCGCGCGUCCAUCACACGGUGGAUGAAGGCCGGGUGCCGCACGUGCCCAGUCACCGGCGAGAAGCUCCGCACCGCCGACCUCGUGCCGAACGCCGCGCUGUGCGGGAUCAUCGAGCGGAUGCUGCUCAGCAACGGCGUCUCGCUUCCCGAGACGGGCUCCAGGCACCACCACGGCGACGCUGACGGCUCAGCCGCUACAUUCAGUCCGUCGGCCACCGGCGCCGCGCGGCUCGCCAUUAGCUACAUCGUGGCGCAGUUCUCGACGGGGUCGACGGAGGAGCGUAGGAAGGCGACGUCCGAGGCCCGCAAGCUCUCCAAGCACAGCGUGUUCUACCGGGCGCUCUUCGUGGAGGCCAAUGCCGUACCGUGGUUGCUGUGCCUCCUGUCCUGCAUGGACGCGUCCGUGCAGGACAAUGCCGUGGCGUCCCUACUCAACCUCUCCAAGCACCCCGGUGGCCGGACGGCGCUCGUCGAGGCAGGAGGCAUCGGCCUCGUGGUCGACAUCGUCAACGUCGGCUCCAAGGCCGAGACGCAGCAGAACGCCGUGGCCAUUCUCUUCUACCUCUCGUCGAACGCCGAGUACGCCGAGGAGAUUGGCCGGUUCCCGGAGGCCAUACCGACGCUAGUGCGGCUCAUCAAGGAGGGCGCGCACCGAGGCCGGAAGAACGCCAUGGUCAGCCUCUACGGUCUGCUCCAAUCCCCGAGCAACCACGCCAAAGCCGUUGCCGCCGGCGCCGUGGUGGUGCUUGCUGGCCUCCUUUCCAGCGACCGCGACGGCGACCUCGCCUGCGACACCGUCUCGCUGCUGGCGAGGAUCGCCGAGCAGCCGGCGGGCGCACAGGCCGUGCUCGCGCGGGCGGGCCUAGUCGCCCGCCUCGUCGAGUUCCUCGCCGCGUCGGCCUCUCGUUCCGGGAAGGACCACUGCGUGGGGUUGCUGGUCAUGCUGUGCCGGCACGGCGGCGAGAAGGUGGUCGCCCUGCUGGGCCGGAUGCCGGGGCUGAUGGGGUCGCUGCACUCGCUCGUCGCCGACGGCAGCCCGGCGACCUGCAAGAAGGCGCGGUCGCUGAUCAGCAUGAUCCACCGGCAUUACGAGCUGACCAGGCCGUCGUCAUCGCCGGUGCCGCUGCCGGUGCCUACACCGGACGCCGGCGACCGUUUCGUUCGGCUCGUGCUAUAG
This 2106-nucleotide ribosomal RNA is filed under the name Triticum aestivum (bread wheat). Its description in RNAcentral is "partial small subunit ribosomal RNA". The record is from RNAcentral. Lineage: Eukaryota; Viridiplantae; Streptophyta; Magnoliopsida; Poales; Poaceae.